RNAcentral lists this ribosomal RNA (99 nucleotides) under Salvator merianae (Argentine black and white tegu). The record is from RNAcentral. Lineage: Eukaryota; Metazoa; Chordata; Lepidosauria; Squamata; Teiidae.
GCCCAUGAGUGAUCUUGCCUGAGCUGAGAAGCAAAGCAGGAUCAGGCUUGGUUAGUACUUGGAUGGAAGACUACCAGAGAAUACUGGGUCCUCUAGGCU